Molecule: long non-coding RNA, 1045 nt
Organism: Stegodyphus dumicola
Lineage: Eukaryota; Metazoa; Arthropoda; Arachnida; Araneae; Eresidae
Source: RefSeq, a predicted model, not a curated record
GUCAGGAUGAAAUGCGACCAUAUGUUCUAUGGCAGCGGUCGUCAACUCUUAGAACUUCACGGACCACUAUAUAUAUAAUUUUAUAUUUGGUGGACCAUUAAUAUGAAUUUAAAAAAAGAUUUUACAUCCACUUCAGUAAAAAUUGGUAAAUACAUCAGAUGUCGUUUCUGCUUAUAUCAAAGUAAAUAUACCACUCACGUUCGAGAUCAUGAAGCUACUCAUACUGGGGAAAGACCUCAUAAAUGUACACUCUGUUUUCAAUCAUUUAUACAGAAAUCUAGCCUUAAGCGGCAUUAUGUAACUCAUCGUAAAAUUCCUGAUUUCAGCUGAUUUUUUUUCAGGGAAAUCUCCCUGAGAUGACCACCUAUGAUUCCAGACAAUUUUGAUCUUCUAUGGAUAAGUGGUUUACUGUUGGUGAUACUUAGUAUUAUUAUUUAACUAUAUUUUAACAAAUACACUUUCAGAGUUGCUUGUCUAAGGGAAGUAGUAGCUUAUGAGAGUUUUCACUAUAUUUAUGCUCAUUUAUUAAGGAAGAUUUAGUCAGUCAUGCCUUGUUUCGAUUAGGUUUUAAAAAUUUAGGUGUAAUUAAACUAUCAAUAUUUAGAAGUUGAGGUGGAAUUGUAAAUGUCAGUAUAUUCCUAAUAAAUGUUUUUUAUUUUUUUUUAGGGUACAGAAUUGCAACUAAAAGGAAUUAUCGAAAAUUUUAUUAUUGCCGCUUUUGCUUAUAUAAAAGCAAACAUCCUACUCAUGUUCGGGACCAUGAAGCUACUCACACUGGAGAAAAGCCUCAUAAAUGUCCAGUGUGUUUGAAAUCAUUUAUUCAGAAAGGACAUCUCAAAUACCAUUUUGUAAGAAACCAUCUUCGGAAUUUUCAGUAGUACACUCACAGAUAUUUUGUUGUCAUCAAUGAAAAAAUGCAUUGAAUGUUACUAUUCAAAGGAAGACUUGUAUAUUUAGGAAAGUAUAAAAAGAAAAGAAAGUAGCUUAAAACUACUGAAAUUAUUUCUGAUUUUUAUUUAAUUCGUAAUAAAGGGCCUAAAUAUGU